UACGAAGGGGGCUAGCGUUGCUCGGAAUGACUUGGCGUAAAGGGCGCGUAGGCGGAUGGCACAGUCAGAUGUGAAAUUCCCGGGCUUAACCUGGGGGCUGCAUUUGAUACGUGUGAUCUAGAGUGAGGAAGAGGGUCGUGGAAUUCCCAGUGUAGAGGUGAAAUUCGUAGAUAUUCGCAAGAACACCAGUGGCGAAGGCGGCUCACUGGCCCGGUACUGACGCUGAGGUGCGAAAGCGUGGGGAGCAAACAGG
Molecule: ribosomal RNA, 253 nt
Filed under: uncultured bacterium
Lineage: Bacteria
Description: partial 16S ribosomal RNA
Rfam family: Bacterial small subunit ribosomal RNA
Source: RNAcentral